AUAGUAUUACUUCAGUCACAUUUGCAGUGAAUGGGACCGACUAAAAAGAGACUUGAGUUAUAGGGUUUGAUUCGUUUGAAGAACUAAAUCGAAGGGAAGGGACAAUGGACUAUGGGUCAGAGAUGAUUUAAUUGGGGUUUC
Long non-coding RNA from Telopea speciosissima, 141 nucleotides. RefSeq lists it as uncharacterized. Lineage: Eukaryota; Viridiplantae; Streptophyta; Magnoliopsida; Proteales; Proteaceae. The transcript is spliced from 3 exons. The record is from RefSeq and is a predicted model, not a curated record.